GAGGAGAAUAAAAAUGGUUUCACUGGAAACUAACUCAUGGGAAAGAGAGAUCACCAUUCUCAACUGCAUUUGACAAACAUAGAAAAUGUUUCACUGAAGCUAAUUUCCAGAUAAUAUUCUUUAAAAGCAAAUUCACUAUAUGUAGGUGCUUUGGUUACAAAAAAAUAAUACAUUAUGGCACUACUAAUCUAUUGAAGAACAUAGCAUCCCUUGCCCACUGCCCCAACCCAAAUCCCCUUCCACUCCCCUAGCAGGCCAGUCCCACUCCUCUCAUGUUACUUUUUCUCCAUUCAGCACUGCCUGCAGGGCAGACAAGCUAGUUACAGUCUUGUUUUCUCAACUAGGAGGUAUGGAAUUCUUCAUCCUAGAAUCUUUACCGAUACCCUGUAACUGUAAUAACAUAGCCAGGGGUCUUUUCAUAUACCAAUGACUCCUAAUUCAGACCUCUGUAUCUGAGCAAAUGGCAGACUAAUCUUUUCCUACUAGAGACUAACAUUUGUAGAGCAAUUACUCUAAGAUGGCCUACAUUUUAAAAUCCAACAACAUGCAUAGGAAAUGAAAAGGAAAAAAAGAAAAUCUCAAGUUAGCUUUCUACUACAGAGAAUAAAGUGGGGGAAACUUUAAUCUUUUAUAAAAAACCUUCACAGGAAAAAGUCAGGUUGGGGAGGUACUUCCUUCAGGGACAGAGAGAUUAAGGAAAAGGCUAAAACAAAGAUGGUAUUUUUUUUUUUUUUUCUGCAAUCAGUUAGAGAAGUAAAAGUCCCAUCAGAAAUGCAUAGUGGGGAGUUCCCGUCGUGGUGCAUUAGCUGUAACUGGUCAGUAAUGUUCAACGACACAAUAGGAAACACAUGCCUACGGUGUACAGUUGAGAGAUGCAUGUUCACAGAAAGAACAAAGACGAUGAUGUUUCUGACUUUAUUUUUAAAAAAGAAAUAGUAGGUGCUUCAACAGGAGAGGGAAGCAGGAAAUCUCAAGAUAGUAACCACUGUCAUAUGUGAUUGUGGUUGCUAUGGCAAAUACCUUUUUUAAAACACACAGAAAAUAAUCACAUGAAAUUGACAUCAAUUUCUCCAGUUGCAGGUGAAUACUGACUCUAGCUUAUAAAGACAUUUUGAAUUUUAAUAACAAAUUUAAUGUUCAAAAUUACCUUCUUUCUUAAUUUUGGUCCCAAUUCCUUCAACUACUUGCUGUGGAACUAAAACCCCGUAAGUACUAAAGAACAAAAUAAUCAUCACUCAAUUUUUCUGUGCAUGAGUUUUUUCUUACCUUCAAACAUUCCUUUUGGAAAAUACGCCAGUCUAUUCACAUUUCUUUUUACUAACUUUUCUAAUUUGCACAUGUUUUCCAACAGGUGAAACAUCAUGAAAAUCUAAAUACGUAAAGGAGUUUUUAUAAUACUUUAAUGAUGUAUUUUGUUUAAUUUUUAAUUUCUUAGCAUAAUUAUGACAAAGAUAGUCAAAGGCAGAAAUUAAAUAAUUAAUCACAUCAUUAGCGUAAUAUAUUUCAACAUCAAAGGAUUUAUGAAUAUUACCUAAUUUGUUCUUCUAAAAAUAUUUUAAGAUGUGGGUGUUCCACCUGAUUAAUGAUCUUAGAAAUCUGUCCUUUAGUUUGUUGCCAGGAGUACAGUGAACACAUAUAAAAACCAGGAUGUUAAUAUGGAAGCUACUGACCUCAGCUUUUUCUAAACUUCAUCAGACUGUACUUUGAAACAAAGGAGGAUACAGAACAGGGAGAAGAUCCAGAGGCUAUUCAUAAAAAAAGAUUAAAAGCUUCUAAAAUAAUACCUGCACAAAGGUUAAAGGGAGUGAAAUUGUUCAGCCAGCAAAAGUCUGAGGAUACAAUGUAAUAAGUACCCAAGUACAUAUGAAAGGGUUCUUGCACAGAAAAUAGUGACCAGCUGUUUUCCAUCUCCAAGGAGGGCAGAAUAAAAGGAAACAGACAAAUUGAAGACCAAGGAUUUUAGUUAAAAGGAAUGAUUUGUGCGAGUAAUGAGCACUACAAUAGCCACUGUGUGUCUAUGGAAGCCCUUUCUUCAGAGGCCUUUAUAAGAAAGACUGAUUUUCAUUUGCACAAGGAAGACUAAUAUUUACAUGCUGGUCUGUGCUCUGUGCUGAUAAAAAGAGAUAUCCUAUGACAAAAAUACCAACACUAACAGGCUAGAGCUGUUAAACAUUCCACAGAACAAAGGCACACAGAACAGACCAUAUUCAGUACCCACAGGUAACUCCAAACCAUUGCAGCCACACCAUAGCUGGACACAUAGUACCUCUGAGGAGGAAAACGAAGGGUUUCUAACUGCCCAGGAAUAUCUUGGGUCCUUGCAUCCAGCUGCAAGUGGGAGCUGUAUUUACUGUUGUGACCUUUUUGCUAUGUUGUUGGCAAAACUAAUCUUACCAGGUAAAGAGGCAUAUAACAAUUUUACGUGAAAGGAUUGUAAGAUCUCUGGAGAAGUGGGAAAGUGAUCCCACUUCCUAACCUGCUUAACUGUUUCUUGGCAUCUGAAAUUCUGCUCUUAGUUAUUUACUCUUUUGGCUCAAAGCUCUGUAGCUUUCGAAAAAAAAAUGUAAACAUUCCAAGAACAUAAAACAUCAUUUAAGCAUUUUUACAGCUGCAUACUGGAUACUUUUCUUAACCAGAUUUUGGGAGGAUAA
This 2651-nucleotide long non-coding RNA is filed under the name Sus scrofa (pig). RNAcentral describes it as "lncRNA (ENSSSCG00035069736.1, ENSSSCG00065057473.1)". Lineage: Eukaryota; Metazoa; Chordata; Mammalia; Artiodactyla; Suidae. The record is from RNAcentral.